This is a long non-coding RNA of Rhineura floridana, 1516 nucleotides long. RefSeq lists it as uncharacterized. The record is from RefSeq and is a predicted model, not a curated record. The transcript has 3 exons. NCBI's taxonomy places the organism in Eukaryota, Metazoa, Chordata, Lepidosauria, Squamata, Rhineuridae.
AGUAAUACUGUUCUUGCAGAGGGGAGGGGUGAUGUUUGUCCUUGUAGUGCUGCAGGUUUUGUUGGUCUUAUCCCUUCACCCGUCAUGCUUUCAGAGCAGCUACUGGUGCCUGUCGACUCAACUGAUUGUUGAAAGGAACAUCACAGAACUCGACCCCUUUUACCGGAGAUUCAACUUCCUCCUUCCGUUGGAAUCGAACUCCAGCCGUGAGCAGAGCUUCGGCUGCAUUACCGCUGCUUACCACUCUGCGCCACGGAGGAUCUACUAGACACUAGACAAGCACAGCUUGCUGGAAGUCCUGACUUCGUCUUCAGCUGCUAGGUAAACCUUCUUAUCUCAGGGGAUUCCUGAUCAAUUCCAGCCACCGACAGCUCAACGAAGUUUUGUGGAUAAUCUCUUCGGUUCACCCUUGCCUUGGCGAACAUUUGGACCAGUCAAAGUUUCCUCUUAUUUUAAAGAUACAAGAAGGAGAUGAGAUAUUGAUAGACAAUGUAAAAAUCCAAAAGGUUUUUCAUCAGUAUUAUUCAACUUUGUAUAAGUGUCAGGAAAUUCCCUCUGAAAAAAUAGAAGAGUAUAUAUCUAAACAGAAUUUGCCUAAAAUUACAGAUUCUCAGAGACAAGCUAUAAAUGGUCCCAUCACGUCAAGAGAGAUAUCUGAAGCUAUAAGCAAAAUUAAAUUAGGAAAGGCGCCAGGACCGGAUGGGUUAUCAGCAGUGUACUACAAAUGUUUGGAGGAGGAACUCUUGUUACCUUUACAGUAUACAAUGAAUUCUAUUUUGCAAGAGGGGAAGAUUCCGGAUAGUUGGAAAAAUGCUAAUAUAACAUUAAUACCUAAAGAGGAGCAGGACCUAACCAAAACAAAAAAUUAUCGGCCGAUAUCUCUAUUGAAUAAUGACUAUAAAAUUUUUACAAUGAUUUUGGCAGAAAGAAUGAAAAUAAUAUUGCAAGAAUUUAUUGAGGAAGAUCAAUCGGGGUUUUUACCUAAAAGACAACUAUGUGAUAAUGUCAGGAAUGUUUUGAAUGUGUUGGAAUAUUUAGAACAAUGAAAUGAUAAACAAGCAGCUUUGAUCUUCUUAGAUGCUGAGAAAGCAUUUGAUAAUUUGAAUUGGAAAUUUAUGUUUAAGGUUCUGGAGCAAAUGGAUUUUGGAGAUAAUUUUAUAAAAUGGAUUAGAUCGAUUUAUACAUCUCAGAAGGCACAGAUAAUUGUCAAUGGGGGCUUAACGGAUUCAUGUGAAAUACAAAAGGGUACAAGACAGGGAUGUCCAUUAUCUCCUCUUUUAUUUAUCUUGGUCUUAGAAGUGCUGCUUAGAGAUAUAAGGUAAGAUAAAAGGAUUUCGGGAUUAAAGAUAAAAAAAGAAGAAUAUAAACUGAGAGCAUUUGCUGAUGAUUUGAUGAUUGUAUUAGAAAACCCUUUGGAAGGAAUUAAUGUAUUGAUGGACAAAUUAAAAGAAUUCGGACCGUUAGCAGGAUUUAAGAUCAACAAUCAAAAAACAAAGAUGUUGGUGAAAAAUUUAUC